This 253-nucleotide ribosomal RNA is filed under the name uncultured bacterium. RNAcentral's name for it is "partial 16S ribosomal RNA". It matches the Rfam family "Bacterial small subunit ribosomal RNA", at positions 524 to 776 of the family's 1533-position model. The record is from RNAcentral.
UACGUAGGUGACAAGCGUUGUCCGGAUUUACUGGGCGUAAAGAGCGCGCAGGCGGUCGAUCAAGUCGAGUGUGAAAGCCCCCGGCUCAACUGGGGAGGGUCAUUCGAUACUGAUCGACUCGAAGGCAGGAGAGGGUAGUGGAAUUCCCGGUGUAGUGGUGAAAUGCGUAGAUAUGUGGAGGAACACCGAUGGCGAAGGCAGCCCCCUGGGUCAAAACUGACGCUCAUGCACGAAAGCGUGGGGAGCAAACAGG